Phascolarctos cinereus (koala) is the source of this 1728-nucleotide non-coding RNA. Lineage: Eukaryota; Metazoa; Chordata; Mammalia; Diprotodontia; Phascolarctidae. The record is from RefSeq and is a predicted model, not a curated record.
UGGCAUUCAGAGAAUUCACCUGGCUGCUUUGGGAAUGCAGUCCUGCUCUGGAAAAGUUUACUCCUUGUUGAAGAUAUGAUCUUGAGUUCCGCAGGAGUCCUGGCAUAGCAAACGAUUAGUGUUUAUCAAAACAAACCAAAUUAGUGGGCUUUGUAAGCAGUGUGACUUUGGGCAGAAGAACUUGCCUUUUUAAGGACAUGAUGCAGAGCAAGUUUGAAAUGAUGAUCAACUCUUGGAAGAUUUGACUUCUCUGAUGAAUUCAUUGAUCCAAGACAGUCCAAAGGGCCCAUGAUGAAAAAAUGCCAUCCACCCAGCCCGAGAACUGACCAACUAGACAAAACCUGAGAGUCAGAUGGAUGAAGUAACGUGCCCAGGAGGGUCUACAGCAGGAUUCAAAGCCAAGCCUUCCUGGCUUCUGGUCCAUUCCUUUAUCAUUGUGAGGCUCAAAAGAGGCAGUAUAAAGUGUCUUGGAAAACAGCAUAAACGACAACGCUCACUGUUUGCAGUAACAAGGUUGACCCAUUCCACUGUUUGCUGGCCAGAGGGCAUCUGGAGUACCGGCUCUGAUUUGGGGCCACACAUUUCAAAAAGGAUUUUGACAAGCCAGAAACAAGCUUCCGUUCAGCAGAGUAGGGUGGGUGCAUGGGCACGUGAGUGCAAGGAUGGUGGAGACAAAGGGAUUCAUUUGCCCUGUGAGCAUCAGCUGAAGGACCUCAGGUUACCUGGCCUGGAAAACAGAAGACUUACAGGCAUUGGAAGGAGGAGAGGAUCUGAUGAACUGUUUGGCCCCAGGGGGCACUAGGACCCAAAGGCAGGAGUUACAAGGGAGCAGAUGUGGGCUCAAAGGAAUGAAAGCAAGGGCCCAGACUGAAUCUUGAAUUUCCCUUCACCCAAGUGAUCUAUUACUGCAGAGGCUGUAGAAGACAUUCUGGUAUGGAUCCAGAGGUUGGACCGACCAGUCUUGAAGGUCCUUGCAAUUAGAAUAUUCAUGCUGACUUUAUCCUAGUGGCUGCCAACUCUUUGAACCCAGCAUAAAGUAAAAAAGGAAGUGAACUAGGGCCAGCUGCCCAGGGCAGAAAAGAAAUCCACUUCCCCUUAGUGUUGGCCCUUGCCUUGUCCAGAUCAGGACAGACUUCCUUGAGGCCAGGUACUGGCUUUGACUGGCUUUGUAUAACACCAGGGAUAUGAGGGAAACUGGCUUUACCCCCCUGAAGCUUAACCUCUAAUUGAGAGUCAAGACUAAUUAGACACAAAAUCUAGGAUCCUAGCCUGGGAGGUGGGAAGCAGGGAGGAGGCCAGUGUUGGCUGGAGCCCCUGGAAAAGGAUUAAUGGAAGAGCCCCUUGAACCGGGUCCUGAGGGGAGGGAGGGAUUUGGGGAGGCAGGAGAAGGGCACUUCCGGUGAAGGGCAGUGUCUCAUGUUCCCUUCAGAGGCCAGCGAUGAUGCCACCUCACCUUUGCGUUUAGCCUCAAUGUUUUCAAAGCAGUGCUACCAAGUUCUCCCAUUGGCUUUAUGAAAUCUUGGAGACCUUAAAAGAGCCAGGGGACAGUCUCUGGUGCACUGGGGCAGUCCCCUUCGGAGGCCCAGGUUUGCACACGGCCAAUGCAGUGAUUGUUACAUGCCUAUUUGCCACGAGUCUUUUGCAUUUUUUUUCUUUUUCCCCAGUGUGGGAGAAAAAGAUAAUAGAUUGAAAAAAAUAAUAAAAAUAACACAGAGGCAUGGGCAAGAA